This 403-nucleotide ribosomal RNA is filed under the name uncultured bacterium. RNAcentral's name for it is "bacterial SSU rRNA". It matches the Rfam family "Bacterial small subunit ribosomal RNA", at positions 28 to 436 of the family's 1533-position model. The record is from RNAcentral.
GAUGAACGCUAGCGGGAGGCCUAACACAUGCAAGCCGAGCGGUAUUGUUUCUUCGGAAAUGAGAGAGCGGCGUACGGGUGCGGAACACGUGUGCAACCUGCCUUUAUCUGGGGGAUAGCCUUUCGAAAGGAAGAUUAAUACUCCAUAAUAUAUUGAACGGCAUCGUUUAAUAUUGAAAGCUCCGGCGGAUAGAGAUGGGCACGCGCAAGAUUAGCUAGUUGGUGAGGUAACGGCUCACCAAGGCGAUGAUCUUUAGGGGCCUGAGAGGGUGAUCCCCACACUGGUACUGAGACACGGACCAGACUCCUACGGGAGGCAGCAGUGGGAAUUUUGGACAAUGGACGCAAGUCUGAUCCAGCCAUUCCGCGUGCAGGAUGAAGGCCCUCGGGUUGUAAACUGCUUU